GGGGAUGAUCGGCUUCGACGGGAGGCGUGAAAUCACUGAGUGCAUGCCGAGGGGGUGGCUUUCCUCGUUAAUCCAGCUGCAAACUCUAGUUGCCAACGACGACAACUACGCUCUGGCCGCUUAAGGCCUAAGCCUCGACCGCGAAAGUGCCCGUGCUUUCAAAGGUCGAGUCAUGCUUGCGGGAUAAGCGCUGCCUGUGCUCGGGUUGCAGCGACGAAAAUCAACGAGCUGGCUCCAGGUUGAGCGCGCGUCUCGGCGUGCCUGGUGCGAGAUCAAAGAGACGCUAAGCAUGUAGGACUUGGGACGUAGCACUUUCGGACGGGGGUUCAAUUCCCCCCAUCUCCACCA
This 348-nucleotide transfer-messenger RNA is filed under the name Lysobacterales bacterium. It matches the Rfam family "transfer-messenger RNA". Rfam says of the family: Bacterial tmRNA, also known as 10Sa RNA or SsrA, is named for its dual tRNA and mRNA-like properties. Its role is to liberate the mRNA from a stalled ribosome. To accomplish this part of the tmRNA is used as a reading frame that ends in a translation stop signal. Lineage: Bacteria; Pseudomonadati; Pseudomonadota; Gammaproteobacteria; Lysobacterales. RNAcentral also lists the same sequence under 5 other names. The record is from RNAcentral.